GAUGAACGCUGGCGGCGUGCCUAAUACAUGCAAGUCGAGCGAACGGACGAGAAGCUUGCUUCUCUGAUGUUAGCGGCGGACGGGUGAGUAACACGUGGAUAACCUACCUAUAAGACUGGGAUAACUUCGGGAAACCGGAGCUAAUACCGGAUAAUAUUUUGAACCGCAUGGUUCAAAAGUGAAAGACGGUCUUGCUGUCACUUAUAGAUGGAUCCGCGCUGCAUUAGCUAGUUGGUAAGGUAACGGCUUACCAAGGCAACGAUGCAUAGUCGACCUGAGAGGGUGAUCGGCCACACUGGAACUGAGACACGGUCCAGACUCCUACGGGCGGCAGCAGUAGGGAAUCUUCCGCAAUGGGCGAAAGCCUGACGGAGCAACGCCGCGUGAGUGAUGAAGGUCUUCGGAUCGUAAAACUCUGUUAUUAGGGAAGAACAUAUGUGUAAGUAACUGUGCACAUCUUGACGGUACCUAAUCAGAAAGCCACGGCUAACUACGUG
Molecule: ribosomal RNA, 497 nt
Filed under: uncultured bacterium
Lineage: Bacteria
Description: partial 16S ribosomal RNA
Rfam family: Bacterial small subunit ribosomal RNA
Source: RNAcentral